This 3007-nucleotide ribosomal RNA is filed under the name Salmonella enterica subsp. enterica serovar Typhimurium. Its description in RNAcentral is "23S ribosomal RNA". It matches the Rfam family "Bacterial large subunit ribosomal RNA". The record is from RNAcentral. Lineage: Bacteria; Pseudomonadati; Pseudomonadota; Gammaproteobacteria; Enterobacterales; Enterobacteriaceae.
GGGUUGUGAGGUUAAGCGACUAAGCGUACACGGUGGAUGCCCUGGCAGUCAGAGGCGAUGAAGGACGUGCUAAUCUGCGAUAAGCGCCGGUAAGGUGAUAUGAACCGUUAUAACCGGCGAUUUCCGAAUGGGGAAACCCAGUGUGAUUCGUCACACUAUCAUUAACUGAAUCCAUAGGUUAAUGAGGCGAACCGGGGAACUGAAACAUCUAAGUACCCCGAGGAAAAGAAAUCAACCGAGAUUCCCCAGUAGCGGCGAGCGAACGGGGAGGAGCCCAGAGCCUGAAUCAGCAUGUGUGUUAGUGGAAGCGUCUGGAAAGGCGCGCGAUACAGGGUGACAGCCCCGUACACAAAAGCGCAUGUGCUGUGAGCUCGAUGAGUAGGGCGGGACACGUGGUAUCCUGUCUGAAUAUGGGGGACCAUCCUCCAAGGCUAAAUACUCCUGACUGACCGAUAGUGAACCAGUACCGUGAGGGAAAGGCGAAAAGAACCCCGGCGAGGGGAGUGAAAAAGAACCUGAAACCGUGUACGUACAAGCAGUGGGAGCACCCUUCGGGGUGUGACUGCGUACCUUUUGUAUAAUGGGUCAGCGACUUAUAUUCUGUAGCAAGGUUAACCGUAUAGGGGAGCCGGAGGGAAACCGAGUCUUAACCGGGCGUUAAGUUGCAGGGUAUAGACCCGAAACCCGGUGAUCUAGCCAUGGGCAGGUUGAAGGUUGGGUAACACUAACUGGAGGACCGAACCGACUAAUGUUGAAAAAUUAGCGGAUGACCUGUGGCUGGGGGUGAAAGGCCAAUCAAACCGGGAGAUAGCUGGUUCUCCCCGAAAGCUAUUUAGGUAGCGCCUCGUGAAUUCAUCUCCGGGGGUAGAGCACUGUUUCGGCUAGGGGGCCAUCCCGGCUUACCAACCCGAUGCAAACUGCGAAUACCGGAGAAUGUUAUCACGGGAGACACACGGCGGGUGCUAACGUCCGUCGUGAAGAGGGAAACAACCCAGACCGCCAGCUAAGGUCCCAAAGUCAUGGUUAAGUGGGAAACGAUGUGGGAAGGCCCAGACAGCCAGGAUGUUGGCUUAGAAGCAGCCAUCAUUUAAAGAAAGCGUAAUAGCUCACUGGUCGAGUCGGCCUGCGCGGAAGAUGUAACGGGGCUAAACCAUGCACCGAAGCUGCGGCAGCGAACGUAUCACCCAAGACAACUUUACGGAGUUGACGAUUGACGGAGCGAAGCGACGUCAAAGCGUUCAUUAAAGUCGAGUUGGCUUAGGGAUACGUUCGUUGGGUAGGGGAGCGUUCUGUAAGCCUGUGAAGGUGUGUCGUGAGGCAUGCUGGAGGUAUCAGAAGUGCGAAUGCUGACAUAAGUAACGAUAAAGCGGGUGAAAAGCCCGCUCGCCGGAAGACCAAGGGUUCCUGUCCAACGUUAAUCGGGGCAGGGUGAGUCGACCCCUAAGGCGAGGCCGAAAGGCGUAGUCGAUGGGAAACGGGUUAAUAUUCCCGUACUUGGUGUUACUGCGAAGGGGGGACGGAGAAGGCUAUGUUGGCCGGGCGACGGUUGUCCCGGUUUAAGCGUGUAGGUGUGUGUUCCAGGUAAAUCCGGUUCACUUUAACACUGAGGCGUGACGACGAGGCACUACGGUGCUGAAGCAACAAAUGCCCUGCUUCCAGGAAAAGCCUCUAAGCAUCAGGUAACACGAAAUCGUACCCCAAACCGACACAGGUGGUCAGGUAGAGAAUACCAAGGCGCUUGAGAGAACUCGGGUGAAGGAACUAGGCAAAAUGGUGCCGUAACUUCGGGAGAAGGCACGCUGACACGUAGGUGAAGUGAUUUACUCAUGGAGCUGAAGUCAGUCGAAGAUACCAGCUGGCUGCAACUGUUUAUUAAAAACACAGCACUGUGCAAACACGAAAGUGGACGUAUACGGUGUGACGCCUGCCCGGUGCCGGAAGGUUAAUUGAUGGGGUCAGCGCAAGCGAAGCUCCUGAUCGAAGCCCCGGUAAACGGCGGCCGUAACUAUAACGGUCCUAAGGUAGCGAAAUUCCUUGUCGGGUAAGUUCCGACCUGCACGAAUGGCGUAAUGAUGGCCAGGCUGUCUCCACCCGAGACUCAGUGAAAUUGAACUCGCUGUGAAGAUGCAGUGUACCCGCGGCAAGACGGAAAGACCCCGUGAACCUUUACUAUAGCUUGACACUGAACAUUGAGCCUUGAUGUGUAGGAUAGGUGGGAGGCUUUGAAGUGUGGACGCCAGUCUGCAUGGAGCCGACCUUGAAAUACCACCCUUUAAUGUUUGAUGUUCUAACGUGGACCCGUAAUCCGGGUUGCGGACAGUGUCUGGUGGGUAGUUUGACUGGGGCGGUCUCCUCCUAAAGAGUAACGGAGGAGCACGAAGGUUGGCUAAUCCUGGUCGGACAUCAGGAGGUUAGUGCAAUGGCAUAAGCCAGCUUGACUGCGAGCGUGACGGCGCGAGCAGGUGCGAAAGCAGGUCAUAGUGAUCCGGUGGUUCUGAAUGGAAGGGCCAUCGCUCAACGGAUAAAAGGUACUCCGGGGAUAACAGGCUGAUACCGCCCAAGAGUUCAUAUCGACGGCGGUGUUUGGCACCUCGAUGUCGGCUCAUCACAUCCUGGGGCUGAAGUAGGUCCAAGGGUAUGGCUGUUCGCCAUUUAAAGUGGUACGCGAGCUGGGUUUAGAACGUCGUGAGACAGUUCGGUCCCUAUCUGCCGUGGGCGCUGGAGAACUGAGGGGGGCUGCUCCUAGUACGAGAGGACCGGAGUGGACGCAUCACUGGUGUUCGGGUUGUCAUGCCAAUGGCACUGCCCGGUAGCUAAAUGCGGAAGAGAUAAGUGCUGAAAGCAUCUAAGCACGAAACUUGCCCCGAGAUGAGUUCUCCCUGAGACUUAGAGUCUCCUGAAGGAACGUUGAAGACGACGACGUUGAUAGGCCGGGUGUGUAAGCGCAGCGAUGCGUUGAGCUAACCGGUACUAAUGAACCGUGAGGCUUAACCUUACAACGCCGAAG